Rattus norvegicus (Norway rat) is the source of this 710-nucleotide long non-coding RNA. Lineage: Eukaryota; Metazoa; Chordata; Mammalia; Rodentia; Muridae. The record is from Ensembl.
GAAGGCAGAGGCUGCCACAUCCUACUUAUGUCUUUAAAGGACAGGGCAGACGUGAACACCUCCAGCCUGUCCCACCAGAGCCCUGAUGCAGAAGGGAGACCCAAGCCAGCCCAUACAGGCACAGUCAACACAAAGAGAGCCAAGGUGGAAGUUGGUGCAGAGCUCAGCUGGCAGGCAGAGGAGAGCCAGCCAUAGAACUCUCACCUCCUUCUCCAGUACCAUGUCUUCCGGUAUGCCACCAUGCCUCCUGCCAUGAUGAUAAUGGACUAAACCUCUGAACUCAGGUUCAAAAGUUUUGAGGGGAUCAUGAGCCACUUGGGAGGCUGAGCAGGAGAGCACUGAACCCUGCAGGUGGAGGAUGGGUCCUACUUCUGAGAUUCCUACAGAACAGCAAAGACUGCCAGUCCUGUCCUGUCACCAAAGCAGAGACAGAAGCCCACAAGGAUGCACGUGUGUGUAACCACAACUCCACUUCUCCCAUGCAUGGACACCUAGGCCAUCUGUCCUAUAAUAAGCCCUCAGUAGGGGCUGGAGAGAUGGCUCAGGGGUUAAGAGCACUGACUGCUCUCCAAGAGGUCCUGAGUUCAAUUCCCAGCAACCACAUGGUGGCUCACAACCAUCUGUAAUGGGCAUCCCAUGCCCUCUUCUGCUGUGUCUGAAGAUAGCAACAGUGUACCCACAUCCAUGAAACAAAUAAAUAAAUCUUUAAA